Homo sapiens (human) is the source of this 698-nucleotide long non-coding RNA. RefSeq lists it as uncharacterized. NCBI's taxonomy places the organism in Eukaryota, Metazoa, Chordata, Mammalia, Primates, Hominidae. The transcript is spliced from 3 exons. The record is from RefSeq and is a predicted model, not a curated record.
AGACAUGGAGGCUUCCUGCUUACCCACACCCUGGCCGAUGCAGCAUAUUAUGAAACUCCUGAGGCUUUGCUGCUCUGGUGUGCGGAAAAACACGGCUUCUGCUGGAGAUGGAAAAAGGACUCUGGGGAGGACAAGAUGCCUCAUGUCAAAGCAACAAGGUUCCAGUGAAGAGCUGCAGGCCUCAGAGGCAGUUUAUUUCAUCAAAAAGAUCGGAAGCCUAAAAACAGCAUUGUUAGGGAACUGGCAGCUCAAGACAAAGAAGCCGAACCAGAAGAGGGCACUCUUACCACAGAGAUUUACAGCUAAUGGUUUUUUUUUUUUUUUUUUUUUAAUGUUUGCCCCUCAGCAGGGCCAACAGAGAAAGCAGGACAUUCUUUCCUAAGGAGCUCAUAACUCUCCCAGCCAAGCAAGAAGGAAAAGGCAAAACACCAAGGGUGAAAACUUAGCAGAGAAUGCCAAAGGCAAUGACCGUGCUCUCUGACCAUCACACGCUGGAGGCAGAGCUUUAUAUGGUUCUCAAAGGAUUGUUUACCUCCUCCUCACUAAACCUUAAAAAAAAAUGUAUUCCAAAAACGAAUUACACCAAGCCAACCCACAUUACUCAGUCUACGAAGCCAACCCACAUUCUGGCCUGUACUGCCUUUCAACUCUUCCUAUUUCCACUUGCUGGAAUAAAUCAUUUCACUCUAGGGCCAAAA